CUGGCUCAGGACGAACGCUGGCGGCGUGCCUAAUACAUGCAAGUCGAGCGAACAGAGAAGGAGCUUGCUCCUUCGACGUUAGCGGCGGACGGGUGAGUAACACGUGGGCAACCUACCUUAUAGUUUG
RNAcentral lists this ribosomal RNA (127 nucleotides) under Lysinibacillus sp. TC-37. RNAcentral's name for it is "16S rRNA. Bacterial SSU". It matches the Rfam family "Bacterial small subunit ribosomal RNA", at positions 19 to 140 of the family's 1533-position model. Lineage: Bacteria; Bacillati; Bacillota; Bacilli; Caryophanales; Bacillaceae. The record is from RNAcentral.